This 443-nucleotide ribosomal RNA is filed under the name uncultured bacterium. RNAcentral's name for it is "partial 16S ribosomal RNA". It matches the Rfam family "Bacterial small subunit ribosomal RNA", at positions 338 to 795 of the family's 1533-position model. The record is from RNAcentral.
CCUACGGGAGGCAGCAGUGGGGAAUAUUGGGCAAUGGGCGCAAGCCUGACCCAGCCACGCCGCGUGAAGGAAGACGGCUUUCUGGUUUUAAACUUCUUUUCUCCGGGACGAAACAAGUGACGGUACCUGACGAAUAAGCCACGGCUAACUACGUGCCAGCAGGCGCGGUAAUACGUAGGUCGCAAUCGUUAGCCGGAUGUACUGGGUGUCAAGGGGGUGUAGGGGGGACUGCAAGGCAGGUGGAAAAACCACGGGGGUAAACUGUGGCCUGCAGUUGAAACUGUAGGUCUUGAGUACUGGAGAGGCAGACGGAAUUCGUGGUGUAGCGGUGAAAUGCGUAGAUAUUAGGAGGAACACCAGUGGCGAAGGCGGUCUGCUGGACAGCAACUGACGCUGAGGCGCGAAAGCGUGGGGAGCAAACAGGAUUAGAUACCCCUGUAGUC